This 227-nucleotide long non-coding RNA is filed under the name Daucus carota (carrot). RNAcentral describes it as "long non-coding RNA (DCAR_LNC004232)". The record is from RNAcentral. Lineage: Eukaryota; Viridiplantae; Streptophyta; Magnoliopsida; Apiales; Apiaceae.
ACACUUCCAUUUCAUCACCUUUACACAUCUCCUUCAACUUCACUGAUGGAAUACAAACACAUAGAAGACCCUAACCCUAACCCAAACUACAACCCUAACCUACUAACCCAAAUGGAAAUGAACCAAUUCUUCAAUACCCAAACCACACCUUACACUAGCUACAAAUACAACACUGCCUCCUCAUCUCAUAACAAGAAACACAAAUCAAACAACCAACAUGAAACCUA